UACGAAGGGGGCUAGCGUUGCUCGGAAUCACUGGGCGUAAAGCGCACGUAGGCGGCUUCUUAAGUCAGGGGUGAAAUCCUGGAGCUCAACUCCAGAACUGCCUUUGUUACUGAGAAGCUUGAGUCCGGGAGAGGUGAGUGGAACUGCGAGUGUAGAGGUGAAAUUCGUAGAUAUUCGCAAGAACACCAGUGGCGAAGGCGGCUCACUGGCCCGGUACUGACGCUGAGGUGCGAAAGCGUGGGGAGCAAACAGG
RNAcentral lists this ribosomal RNA (253 nucleotides) under uncultured bacterium. RNAcentral's name for it is "partial 16S ribosomal RNA". It matches the Rfam family "Bacterial small subunit ribosomal RNA", at positions 524 to 776 of the family's 1533-position model. The record is from RNAcentral.